This 2900-nucleotide ribosomal RNA is filed under the name Streptococcus pneumoniae 6963-05. RNAcentral describes it as "bacterial LSU rRNA". It matches the Rfam family "Bacterial large subunit ribosomal RNA". The record is from RNAcentral. Lineage: Bacteria; Bacillati; Bacillota; Bacilli; Lactobacillales; Streptococcaceae.
UUAAGUUAAUAAGGGCGCACGGUGGAUGCCUUGGCACUAGGAGCCGACGAAGGACGUGACAAACGACGAUAUGCCUUGGGUAGCUGUAAGUAAGCGAUGAUCCAGGGAUUUCCGAAUGGGGGAACCCAACAGGUAAUACCUGUUACCUACAUCUGUUAAGGAUGUGAGGAGGAAGACGCAGUGAACUGGAACAUCUAAGUAGCUGCAGGAAGAGAAAGCAAAAGCGAUUGCCUUAGUAGCGGCGAGCGAAACGGCAGAAGGGCAAACCGAAGAGUUUACUCUUCGGGGUUGUAGGACUGCAAUGUGGACUCAAAGAUUAUAGAAGAAUGAUUUGGGAAGAUCAGCCAAAGAGAGUAAUAGCCUCGUAUUUAAAAUAGUCUUUGUACUUAGCAGUAUCCUGAGUACGGCGGGACACGUGAAAUCCCGUCGGAAUCUGGGAGGACCAUCUCCCAACCCUAAAUACUCCCUAGUGACCGAUAGUGAACCAGUACCGUGAGGGAAAGGUGAAAAGCACCCCGGGAGGGGAGUGAAAUAGAACCUGAAACCGUGUGCCUACAACAAGUUCGAGCCCGUUAAUGGGUGAGAGCGUGCCUUUUGUAGAAUGAACCGGCGAGUUACGUUAUGAUGCGAGGUUAAGUUGAAGAGACGGAGCCGUAGGGAAACCGAGUCUGAAUAGGGCGCCUUAGUAUCAUGACGUAGACCCGAAACCAUGUGACCUACCCAUGAGCAGGUUGAAGGUGCGGUAAGACGCACUGGAGGACCGAACCAGGGCACGUUGAAAAGUGCUUGGAUGACUUGUGGGUAGCGGAGAAAUUCCAAACGAACUUGGAGAUAGCUGGUUCUCUCCGAAAUAGCUUUAGGGCUAGCGUCGACAUUAGAGAUUCUUGGAGGUAGAGCACUGUUUGGGUGAGGGGUCCAUCCCGGAUUACCAAUCUCAGAUAAACUCCGAAUGCCAAUGAAUUAUGGUCGGCAGUCAGACUGCGAGUGCUAAGAUCCGUAGUCGAAAGGGAAACAGCCCAGACCACCAGCUAAGGUCCCAAAAUAAUUGUUAAGUGGAAAAGGAUGUGGGGUUGCACAGACAACUAGGAUGUUAGCUUAGAAGCAGCUAUUCAUUCAAAGAGUGCGUAAUAGCUCACUAGUCGAGUGACCCUGCGCCGAAAAUGUACCGGGGCUAAAACAAUUUACCGAAGCUGUGGAUACCUUUAUAGGUAUGGUAGGAGAGCGUUCUAUGUGUGAUGAAGGUAUACCGUGAGGAGUGCUGGAACGCAUAGAAGUGAGAAUGCCGGUAUGAGUAGCGAAAGACAGGUGAGAAUCCUGUCCACCGUAAGACUAAGGUUUCCAGGGGAAGGCUCGUCCGCCCUGGGUUAGUCGGGACCUAAGGAGAGACCGAAAGGUGUAUCCGAUGGACAACAGGUUGAUAUUCCUGUACUAGAGUAUGUAGUGAUGGAGGGACGCAGUAGGCUAACUAAAGCAGACGAUUGGAAGAGUCUGUCUAAGCAGUGAGGUGUGAAUUGAGUCAAAUGCUUAAUUCUAUAACAUUGAGCUGUGAUGGGGAGCGAAGUUUAGUAGCGAAGUUAGUGACGUCACACUGCCAAGAAAAGCUUCUAGCGUUUAAACAUACUCUACCCGUACCGCAAACCGACACAGGUAGUCGAGGCGAGUAGCCUCAGGUGAGCGAGAGAACUCUCGUUAAGGAACUCGGCAAAAUGACCCCGUAACUUCGGGAGAAGGGGUGCUGACUUAAAGUCAGCCGCAGUGAAUAGGCCCAAGCAACUGUUUAUCAAAAACACAGCUCUCUGCUAAAUCGUAAGAUGAUGUAUAGGGGGUGACGCCUGCCCGGUGCUGGAAGGUUAAGAGGAGUGCUUAGCGUAAGCGAAGGUAUGAAUUGAAGCCCCAGUAAACGGCGGCCGUAACUAUAACGGUCCUAAGGUAGCGAAAUUCCUUGUCGGGUAAGUUCCGACCCGCACGAAAGGCGUAAUGAUUUGGGCACUGUCUCAACGAGAGACUCGGUGAAAUUUUAGUACCUGUGAAGAUGCAGGUUACCCGCGACAGGACGGAAAGACCCCAUGGAGCUUUACUGCAGUUUGAUAUUGAGUGUCUGUACCACAUGUACAGGAUAGGUAGGAGUCUAAGAGAUCGGGACGCCAGUUUCGAAGGAGACGCUGUUGGGAUACUACCCUUGUGUUAUGGCCACUCUAACCCAGAUAGGUGAUCCCUAUCGGAGACAGUGUCUGACGGGCAGUUUGACUGGGGCGGUCGCCUCCUAAAAGGUAACGGAGGCGCCCAAAGGUUCCCUCAGAAUGGUUGGAAAUCAUUCGCAGAGUGUAAAGGUAUAAGGGAGCUUGACUGCGAGAGCUACAACUCGAGCAGGGACGAAAGUCGGGCUUAGUGAUCCGGUGGUUCCGUAUGGAAGGGCCAUCGCUCAACGGAUAAAAGCUACCCUGGGGAUAACAGGCUUAUCUCCCCCAAGAGUUCACAUCGACGGGGAGGUUUGGCACCUCGAUGUCGGCUCGUCGCAUCCUGGGGCUGUAGUCGGUCCCAAGGGUUGGGCUGUUCGCCCAUUAAAGCGGCACGCGAGCUGGGUUCAGAACGUCGUGAGACAGUUCGGUCCCUAUCCGUCGCGGGCGUAGGAAAUUUGAGAGGAUCUGCUCCUAGUACGAGAGGACCAGAGUGGACUUACCGCUGGUGUACCAGUUGUCUUGCCAAAGGCAUCGCUGGGUAGCUAUGUAGGGAAGGGAUAAACGCUGAAAGCAUCUAAGUGUGAAACCCACCUCAAGAUGAGAUUUCCCAUGAUUAUAUAUCAGUAAGAGCCCUGAGAGAUGAUCAGGUAGAUAGGUUAGAAGUGGAAGUGUGGCGACACAUGUAGCGGACUAAUACUAAUAGCUCGAGGACUUAUCCAA